ACCCCACUGCUAUCGGGAUAGGACUAAGACAUGCUAGUCGUGCGCUUCCUAGCCAAUUUGGGAGCGCGGCACACAGCUCAGUAACACGUGGCUAAUCUGCCCUUGGGACAAGAACACCCCCGGGAAACUGGGGCUAAUUCUCGAUAGGUGAAGAACUCUGGAAUGAGUCUUUGCUUAAAAGAGGCUGGGGUUAUGCUCUCCAGUUUCGCCCAAGGAUGAGGCCGCGACCGAUCAGGUUGUUGGUGAGGUAAUGGCCCACCAAGCCUUUUACCGGUGCGGGCCGUGAGAGCGGGAGCCCGGAGAUGGGCACUGAGACAAGGGCCCAGGCCCUACGGGGCGCAGCAGUCGCGAAAACUUUGCAAUAAGCGAAAGCUUGACAGGGCUAUCCCGAGUGCCAUCCGCUGAGGAAGGCUUUACCCAGUCUAGAACGCUGGGGGAAUAAGGAGAGGGCAAGUCUGGUGUCAGCCGCCGCGGUAAUACCAGCUCUCCGAGUGGUGUGGAUGUUUAUUGGGCCUAAAGCAUCCGUAGCUGGCUAGGUUAGUCCCCUGUUAAAUCCACCGAAUUAAUCGUUGGAUUGCGGGGGAUACUGCUUGGCUAGGGGACGAGAGAGGCAGACGGUAUUUCCGGGGUAGGGGUGAAAUCCUAUAGUCCCGGGAAGACCACCAGUGGCGAAGGCUGUCUGCUGGAACGCGCCCGACGGUGAGGGAUGAAAGCUGGGGGAGCGAACCGGAUUAGAUACCCGGGUAGUCCCAGCUGUAAACGAUGCAGACUAGGUGUUUGGACGGCCACGUGCCGUUCUAGUGCCGCAGGGAAGCUGUUAAGUCUGCCGCCUGGGGAGUACGAUCGCAAGAUUGAAACUUAA
This 862-nucleotide ribosomal RNA is filed under the name uncultured soil archaeon. RNAcentral's name for it is "bacterial SSU rRNA". It matches the Rfam family "Archaeal small subunit ribosomal RNA", at positions 21 to 859 of the family's 1478-position model. The record is from RNAcentral.